RNAcentral lists this ribosomal RNA (207 nucleotides) under uncultured delta proteobacterium. RNAcentral describes it as "partial 16S ribosomal RNA". It matches the Rfam family "Bacterial small subunit ribosomal RNA", at positions 568 to 774 of the family's 1533-position model. Lineage: Bacteria; Deltaproteobacteria. The record is from RNAcentral.
CGCGUAGGCGGCGAGACAAGUUGGAUGUGAAAGCCCUGGGCUCAACCCAGGAUGUGCAUUCAAAACUGUCUCGCUUGAAUCUCGGAGGGGGUCAGGGAAUUCCCGGUGUAGAGGUGAAAUUCGUAGAUAUCGGGAGGAACACCAGUGGCGAAGGCGCUGACCUGGACGAUGAUUGACGCUGAGGCGCGAAAGCGUGGGGAGCAAACA